AUACGGAGGAUCCGAGCGUUAUCCGGAUUUAUUGGGUUUAAAGGGUGCGCAGGCGGCCAUUUAAGUCAGCGGUUAAAUCGUGGGGCUCAACCCCAUUCUGCCGUUGAUACUGGGUGGCUUGAUUGCGGUCGAGGUUGGCGGAAUUCGUUGUGUAGCGGUGAAAUGCAUAGAUAUGACGAAGAACACCGAUUGCGUAGGCAGCUGACCAGACCGCAAAUGACGCUCAUGCACGAAAGUGCGGGGAUCGAACAGGAUUAGAUACCCUGGUAGUCCGCACAGCAAACGAUGAAUACUUGUUUUCGGCGAUAUAAUGUCGGAGGCAAAGCGAAAGCGAUAAGUAUUCCACCUGGGGAGUACGCCGGCAACGGUGAAACUCAAAGGAAUUGACGGGA
RNAcentral lists this ribosomal RNA (392 nucleotides) under uncultured bacterium. Its description in RNAcentral is "partial 16S ribosomal RNA". It matches the Rfam family "Bacterial small subunit ribosomal RNA", at positions 523 to 918 of the family's 1533-position model. The record is from RNAcentral.